AAAUUGAAGAGUUUGAUCAUGGCUCAGAUUGAACGCUGGCGGCAGGCCUAACACAUGCAAGUCGAACGGUAACAGGAAGCAGCUUGCUGCUUCGCUGACGAGUGGCGGACGGGUGAGUAAUGUCUGGGAAACUGCCUGAUGGAGGGGGAUAACUACUGGAAACGGUGGCUAAUACCGCAUAACGUCGCAAGACCAAAGAGGGGGACCUUCGGGCCUCUUGCCAUCAGAUGUGCCCAGAUGGGAUUAGCUAGUUGGUGAGGUAACGGCUCACCAAGGCGACGAUCCCUAGCUGGUCUGAGAGGAUGACCAGCCACACUGGAACUGAGACACGGUCCAGACUCCUACGGGAGGCAGCAGUGGGGAAUAUUGCACAAUGGGCGCAAGCCUGAUGCAGCCAUGCCGCGUGUAUGAAGAAGGCCUUCGGGUUGUAAAGUACUUUCAGCGGGGAGGAAGGUGUUGUGGUUAAUAACCGCAGCAAUUGACGUUACCCGCAGAAGAAGCACCGGCUAACUCCGUGCCAGCAGCCGCGGUAAUACGGAGGGUGCAAGCGUUAAUCGGAAUUACUGGGCGUAAAGCGCACGCAGGCGGUCUGUCAAGUCGGAUGUGAAAUCCCCGGGCUCAACCUGGGAACUGCAUU
Molecule: ribosomal RNA, 637 nt
Filed under: Salmonella enterica
Lineage: Bacteria; Pseudomonadati; Pseudomonadota; Gammaproteobacteria; Enterobacterales; Enterobacteriaceae
Also listed under: 1 other name
Description: bacterial SSU rRNA
Rfam family: Bacterial small subunit ribosomal RNA
Source: RNAcentral